AUUUAAAUAGUUUAAUAAAAGAAAAUAUUAGAGUGUGGAUCUAAAGAUAUAAAAGUAAUAUUUUAAAUU
RNAcentral lists this transfer RNA (69 nucleotides) under Vespa mandarinia (Asian giant hornet). RNAcentral describes it as "tRNA-His". The record is from RNAcentral. Lineage: Eukaryota; Metazoa; Arthropoda; Insecta; Hymenoptera; Vespidae.